RNAcentral lists this transfer RNA (72 nucleotides) under Tuber melanosporum (Perigord truffle). RNAcentral's name for it is "tRNA-Val (TAC) (tRNA-Val-TAC-2-1)". It matches the Rfam family "tRNA". Rfam says of the family: Transfer RNA (tRNA) molecules are approximately 80 nucleotides in length. The record is from RNAcentral. Lineage: Eukaryota; Fungi; Ascomycota; Pezizomycetes; Pezizales; Tuberaceae.
GGCUGUGUGGCGCAGUGGAAGCGCGUCUGCUUUACACGCAGACGGCCGCAGGUUCGAACCCUGCCACAGUCA